AGUGAACGCUGGCGGCAGGCCUAAUACAUGCAAGUCGAACGGCAGCACAGUAAGAGCUUGCUCUUACGGGUGGCGAGUGGCGGACGGGUGAGGAAUACAUCGGCAUCUACUUUUUCGUGGGGGAUAACGUAGGGAAAUUUACGCUAAUACCGCAUACGAUCUACGGGUGAAUGCAGGGGAUCUUCGGACCUUGCGCGAUUGUAUGAGCCGAUGUCGGAUUAGCUAGUUGGCGGGGUAAAGGCCCACCAAGGCGACGAUACGUAGCUGGUCUGAGAGGAUGAUCAGCCACACUGGAACUGAGACACGGUCCAGACUCCUACGGGAGGCAGCAGUAGGGAAUAUUGCACAAUGGGCGCAAGCCUGAUCCAGCCAUGCCGCGUGAGUGAAGAAGGCCUUCGGGUUGUAAAGCCCUUUUAUUGGGAAAGAAAAGCAGCAGGUUAAUACCCCGCUGUUCUGACGGUACCCAAAGAAUAAGCACCGGCUAACUUCGUG
Molecule: ribosomal RNA, 492 nt
Filed under: uncultured bacterium
Lineage: Bacteria
Description: partial 16S ribosomal RNA
Rfam family: Bacterial small subunit ribosomal RNA
Source: RNAcentral